AGUUUGAUCCUGGCUCAGAACGAACGCUGGCGGCGUGCCUAACACAUGCAAGUCGAACGCGAAAGUCCUUCGGGAUGAGUAAAGUGGCGCACGGGUGAGUAACACGUAGGUGACCUGCCUUUUAGAGGGGAAUAACCAGAUGAAAAUUUGGCUAAUGCCGCAUACGAAGAACAAAUAUAAUAGUAGUUCUUGAAAGGAUGCCUCUGUACAUGCAUCCACUAAAAGAUGGGCCUGCGGAACAUUAGCUAGUUGGUGGGGUAAAGGCCUACCAAGGCAACGAUGUUUAUCCGGUCUGAGAGGAUGAUCGGACACACUGGAACUGAGACACGGUCCAGACUCCUACGGGAGGCAGCAGUGGGGAAUAUUGCGCAAUGGGGGAAACCCUGACGCAGCAACGCCGCGUGAGUGAGGAAGGACUUCGGUCUGUAAAGCUCUGUUAAUGUGGAAAAAUGGUAGCUGGUCUAAUAGGCCGGCUAUUUGAUGGUACACAUAGAGGAAGCACCGGCUAACUUCGUGCCAGCAGCCGCGGUAAUACGAAGGGUGCAAGCGUUGUUCGGAUUUAUUGGGCGUAAAGCGCGCGUAGGCGGACCUGCAAGUAAGAUGUGAAAUCUCGAGGCUCAACCUCGAAACUGCGUCUUAAACUACAGGUCUAGAAUCUCGGA
Molecule: ribosomal RNA, 662 nt
Filed under: uncultured bacterium
Lineage: Bacteria
Description: bacterial SSU rRNA
Rfam family: Bacterial small subunit ribosomal RNA
Source: RNAcentral